GGGAGGGCUGAUGAACAAUAUUCUCUGAGCUCGUUCAGAAACAAAGUGAAGAACCCGGGCAAAAACGCAAACAGCUCUACUGAGUUUCUGAGAGAUGGGAAUCGCCUUGCAGGUGGUGCAAGCACAUGGCUCGUUUAUGGGCUGAAUAAGCAUUACCAACCAGCCCAUCCUGGCUCAAGGUGGCACUUGAGUAUGUGAUGCCAACUGCCGCCGGCUGGAUGUUUAAAUUGCACAUCUUAUUUAUUCCCUUCCUAGAUGCGCAAGGAAGAUGUACAACAAUGGAAACAACAAUGGAGAAUACACGGGUUAAACUUCCAGACAUCCGUACACUCCCCUUCGAUGUGCAUGACAGUUAGGUUGGUAUCACCUUGAAAAGCAGUUUCAUGUAAGAUACAUCUUUAUUGUAAUAUGAUCCACAAAAUGUAUGUGUAUAUGAAUA
Mastomys coucha (southern multimammate mouse) is the source of this 439-nucleotide long non-coding RNA. RefSeq lists it as uncharacterized. The record is from RefSeq and is a predicted model, not a curated record. The transcript has 2 exons. NCBI's taxonomy places the organism in Eukaryota, Metazoa, Chordata, Mammalia, Rodentia, Muridae.